Molecule: transfer RNA, 67 nt
Filed under: Rhabdosynochus viridisi
Lineage: Eukaryota; Metazoa; Platyhelminthes; Monogenea; Dactylogyridea; Diplectanidae
Description: tRNA-Arg
Source: RNAcentral
AGCUAAUAAACUAAAUAGUUAGGUUUAUAUUUCGAUUAUAAAUUUUAGGUAAGUGCCUUAUUAGUUG